Molecule: ribosomal RNA, 31 nt
Filed under: endophytic ascomycete BCC 8616
Lineage: Eukaryota; Fungi; Ascomycota
Description: partial 18S ribosomal RNA
Source: RNAcentral
CUUCCGUAGGUGAACCUGCGGAAGGAAAUUN